GAUGAACGCUGGCGGCGUGCUUAACACAUGCAAGUCGAACGGAAAGGCUCCUGCUUGCCGGGGUACUCGAGUGGCGAACGGGUGAGUAACACGUGUGUGAUCUGCCCUGCACUUCGGGAUAAGACUUGGAAACUGGGUCUAAUACAGGAUAGGACAUUUGUAUGGAUGCGAUUGUGGAAAGAUUGUGCGUUUUGGGGUGAGCUCGCGGCUUAUCAGCUUCUUGGUGGGGUAUUGGCAUACGAAGGCGUAGACGGGUAGCCGGCCUGAGAGGGGGGACGGCGACAUUGGGACUGAGAGACGGAGCAGAAGCGUACGGGAGGCAGUAGGGGGGAGUAUUGCACAGUGGGGGCAAGCGUGAGGCAGCGAUGUCGGGUGCGGGAUGAUGGCCUUUGGGUUGUGAACACCUGUCUCUGGGGACGAAGCGGAAGUGACGGUACCUGGAGAAGAAGCACCGGCUAACUACGUG
This 466-nucleotide ribosomal RNA is filed under the name uncultured bacterium. Its description in RNAcentral is "partial 16S ribosomal RNA". It matches the Rfam family "Bacterial small subunit ribosomal RNA", at positions 28 to 507 of the family's 1533-position model. The record is from RNAcentral.